GAUGAACGCUGGCGGCGUGCCUAAUACAUGCAAGUCGAGCGAACAGACGAGGAGCUUGCUCCUCUGACGUUAGCGGCGGACGGGUGAGUAACACGUGGAUAACCUACCUAUAAGACUGGGAUAACUUCGGGAAACCGGAGCUAAUACCGGAUAAUAUAUUGAACCGCAUGGUUCAAUAGUGAAAGACGGUUUUGCUGUCACUUAUAGAUGGAUCCGCGCCGCAUUAGCUAGUUGGUAAGGUAACGGCUUACCAAGGCAACGAUGCGUAGCCGACCUGAGAGGGUGGUCGGCCACACUAGAACUGAGACACGGUCCAGACUCCUACGGGAGGCAGCAGUGGGGAAUCUUCCGCAAAGGGCGAAAGCCUGACGGAGCAACGCCGCGUGAGUGAUGAAGGUCUUCGGAUCGUAAAGCUCUGUUAUUAGGGAAGAACAGAUGUGUAAGUAACUAUGCACGUCUUGACGGUACCUAAUCAGAAAGCCACGGCUAACUACGUG
Molecule: ribosomal RNA, 497 nt
Filed under: uncultured bacterium
Lineage: Bacteria
Description: partial 16S ribosomal RNA
Rfam family: Bacterial small subunit ribosomal RNA
Source: RNAcentral